AGACAAAUCAUUUCCAUAGAGAGGAGGCUUUGCAUGGUCAGCUGAUCCUCCAGUGAACUGAGAAGGUUUAUAGUCCUGUGAGUUCAACACUGCAGGACUCAGAUCUGUCAGUCAACACAGCAGAAAGCACAACCACCAUGACUCUCAUCACCAUCCUCAUGUGGACGCUGGCCUGCUGCUGUUUUACAGGUUGCAGCGGUCAGGUGACUGUGACUCAGCCUGCAGCAGUGACAUUUACUCCAGGAUCCACAGUCACUCUCACCUGCAAAACAAGCCAGGCUGUUGACAGAUGGUCUGAUGGUGAUGAGGGUAUGUACUGGUACCAACAUAAACCUGGACAGCCUCCAAAGCUCUUAAUAAGAUAUGCCAAAAAGCUUGAAUCAGGAACACCAGCUCGGUUCAGUGGCAGUGGAAGCAGCUCUGACUUCAGUUUGAGCAUCAGUGGAGUUCAGAGUGAAGAUGCAGCAGUUUAUUACUGUCAGAGUUUCCAUUAUAUAAACAGUGCGUAUGUGUUCACACAGUGAUUUGUAGUCGUACAAAAUCCUCCCUCAGUCAGACUGCAGAGACUCUGAGCUGUUACAGCAGGAACCGACUGCAGCUGCUGAAGAGGAAGAGACUCUGACACAGACCA
This is a non-coding RNA of Scatophagus argus, 631 nucleotides long. The record is from the annotation of a RefSeq genome assembly. Lineage: Eukaryota; Metazoa; Chordata; Actinopteri; Scatophagidae.